Molecule: ribosomal RNA, 491 nt
Filed under: uncultured bacterium
Lineage: Bacteria
Description: partial 16S ribosomal RNA
Rfam family: Bacterial small subunit ribosomal RNA
Source: RNAcentral
GAUGAACGCUGGCUACAGGCUUAACACAUGCAAGUCGAGGGGAAACGCCGGGGAAGCUUGCUUCCCCGGGCGUCGACCGGCGCACGGGUGAGUAACGCGUAUCCAACCUGCCUCUGACUGAGGGAUAACCCGUCGAAAGUCGGCCUAAUACCUCAUGGCAUCGUCUGCGGGCAUCCAACGACGAUUAAAGAUUUCAUCGGUCAGGGAUGGGGAUGCGUCUGAUUAGCUUGUUGGCGGGGUAACGGCCCACCAAGGCUACGAUCAGUAGGGGUUCUGAGAGGAAGGUCCCCCACAUUGGAACUGAGACCCGGCCCAAACUCCUACGGGAGGCAGCAGUGAGGAAUAUUGGUCAAUGGGCGGGAGCCUGAACCAGCCAAGUAGCGUGCAGGAUGACGGCCCUAUGGGUUGUAAACUGCUUUUAUGCGGGGAUAAAGUGAGGGACGUGUCCUUCAUUGCAGGUACCGCAUGAAUAAGAACCGGCUAAUUCCGUG